GAUGAAGAACGUAGUGAAAUGCGAUAAGUAAUGUGAAUUGCAGAAUUCAGUGAAUCAUCGAAUCUUUGAACGCACAUUGCGCCCUCUGGUAUUCCGGGGGGCAUGCCUGUUCGAGCGUCAUUACAACCCUCAAGCUCAGCUUGGUGUUGGGCCCCGCCGCCCCGGCGGGCCCUAAAGUCAGUGGCGGUGCCGUCCGGCUCCGAGCGUAGUAAUUCUUCUCGCUCUGGAGGUCCGGUCGUGUGCUCGCCAGCAACCCCCAAUUUUUUUCAGGUUGACCUCGGAUCAGGUAGGGAUACCCGCUGAACUUAAGCAUAUCAAUAAGCGGAGGA
Molecule: unclassified non-coding RNA, 329 nt
Filed under: soil metagenome
Description: partial contains 5.8S ribosomal RNA, internal transcribed spacer 2, and large subunit ribosomal RNA
Rfam family: 5.8S ribosomal RNA (bases 1-120)
Source: RNAcentral